GUACUCACUCAGCAGCACAUAUACUAAAUUGGAACAAUACCGAGAAGAUUAGGAUGGCCCCUGCACAAGGAUGACACACAUUCAUGAAUUGUUCCCUAUUUUU
Molecule: small nuclear RNA, 103 nt
Organism: Nycticebus coucang (slow loris)
Lineage: Eukaryota; Metazoa; Chordata; Mammalia; Primates; Lorisidae
Source: RefSeq, a predicted model, not a curated record